UUCCGUAGGUGAACCUGCGGAAGGGAUCAUUACUGAUUUGCUUAAUUGCACCACAUGUGUUUUUUAUUGAACAAAUUUCUUUGGUGGCGGGAGCAAUCCUACCGCCAGAGGUUAUAACUAAACCAAACUUUUUAUUUACAGUCAAACUUGAUUUAUUAUUACAAUAGUCAAAACUUUCAACAACGGAUCUCUUGGUUCUCGCAUCGAUGAAGAACGCAGCGAAAUGCGAUACGUAAUAUGAAUUGCAGAUAUUCGUGAAUCAUCGAAUCUUUGAACGCACAUUGCGCCCUUUGGUAUUCCAAAGGGCAUGCCUGUUUGAGCGUCAUUUCUCCCUCAAACCCCCGGGUUUGGUGUUGAUCAAUACCUAGGUUUGUUUGAAAGAAUUUAACGUGGAAACUUAUUUUAAGCGACUUAGGUUUAUCCAAAAACGCUUAUUUUGCUAGUGGCCACCACAAUUUAUUUCAUAACUUUGACCUCAAAUCAGGUAGGACUACCCGCUGAACUUAAGCAUAUCAAUAAGCGGAGGAAACCAACAGGGAUUGCCUUAGUAGCGGCGAGUGAAGCGGCAAAAGCUCAAAUUUGAAAUCUGGCUCUUUCAGAGUCCGAGUUGUAAUUUGAAGAAGGUAUCUUUGGGUCUGGCUCUUGUCUAUGUUUCUUGGAACAGAACGUCACAGAGGGUGAGAAUCCCGUGCGAUGAGAUGAUCCGGGCCUAUUUAAUUUCUUUGAAGAGUCGAGAUGUUUGGGAAUGCAGCUCUAAGUGGGUGGUAAAUCCCAUCUAAAGCUAAAUAUUGGCGAGAGACCGAUAGCGAACAAGUACAGUGAUGGAAAGAUGAAAAGAACUUUGAAAAGAGAGUGAAAAAGUACGUGAAAUUGUUGAAAGGGAAGGGCUUGACAUCAGACUUGGUAUUUUGUAUGUUACUUCUUCGGGGGUGGCCUCUACAGUUUAUCGGGCCAGCAUCAGUUUGGGCGGUAGGAGAAUUGCGUUGGAAUGUGGCACGGCUUCGGUUGUGUGUUAUAGCCUUCGUCGAUACUGCCAGCCUAGACUGAGGACUGC
Molecule: ribosomal RNA, 1054 nt
Filed under: [Candida] sp. BIBHUCPB 16
Lineage: Eukaryota; Fungi; Ascomycota; Saccharomycetes; Saccharomycetales
Description: eukaryotic LSU rRNA
Rfam family: Eukaryotic large subunit ribosomal RNA (bases 471-1054)
Source: RNAcentral